AACGAACGCUGGCGGCAUGCCUAACACAUGCAAGUCGAACGAGACCUUCGGGUCUAGUGGCGCACGGGUGCGUAACGCGUGGGAACCUGCCCUUAGGUUCGGAAUAACUCCCCGAAAGGGGUGCUAAUACCGGAUAAUGUCUUCGGACCAAAGAUUUAUCGCCUUUGGAUGGGCCCGCGUUGGAUUAGCUAGUUGGUAGGGCAAAAGCCUACCAAGGCGACGAUCCAUAGCUGGUCUGAGAGGAUGAUCAGCCACACUGGGACUGAGACACGGCCCAGACUCCUACGGGAGGCAGCAGUGGGGAAUAUUGGACAAUGGGCGAAAGCCUGAUCCAGCAAUGCCGCGUGAGUGAUGAAGGCCUUAGGGUUGUAAAGCUCUUUUACCCGGGAUGAUAAUGACAGUACCGGGAGAAUAAGCUCCGGCUAACUCCGU
RNAcentral lists this ribosomal RNA (432 nucleotides) under uncultured bacterium. Its description in RNAcentral is "partial 16S ribosomal RNA". It matches the Rfam family "Bacterial small subunit ribosomal RNA", at positions 29 to 506 of the family's 1533-position model. The record is from RNAcentral.